RNAcentral lists this transfer RNA (73 nucleotides) under Candidatus Westeberhardia cardiocondylae. RNAcentral's name for it is "transfer RNA Threonine". It matches the Rfam family "tRNA". From Rfam's summary of the family: Transfer RNA (tRNA) molecules are approximately 80 nucleotides in length. Their secondary structure includes four short double-helical elements and three loops (D, anti-codon, and T loops). Lineage: Bacteria; Pseudomonadati; Pseudomonadota; Gammaproteobacteria; Enterobacterales; Enterobacteriaceae. The record is from RNAcentral.
GCCAACAUAGCUCAAUUGGUAGAGCAACUGAUUUGUAAUCAGUAAGUUGAAGGUUCAAUUCCUUUUGUUGGCA